This 495-nucleotide ribosomal RNA is filed under the name uncultured bacterium. RNAcentral's name for it is "partial 16S ribosomal RNA". It matches the Rfam family "Bacterial small subunit ribosomal RNA", at positions 28 to 523 of the family's 1533-position model. The record is from RNAcentral.
GAUGAACGCUGGCGGCGUGCUUAACACAUGCAAGUCGAACGAAGCACUUUUACAGAUUUCUUCGGAAUGAAGUUUUAGUGACUGAGUGGCGGACGGGUGAGUAACGCGUGGGUAACCUGCCUCACACAGGGGGAUAACAGUUGAAAACGGCUGCUAAUACCGCAUAAGCGAACAGUACUGCAUGGUACGGUGUGAAAAACUCCGGUGGUGUGAGAUGGCCCCGCGUCUGAUUAGCUAGUUGGCAGGGCAACGGCCUACCAAGGCGACGAUCAGUAGCCGACCUGAGAGGGUGACCGGCCACAUUGGGACUGAGACACGGCCCAAACUCCUACGGGAGGCAGCAGUGGGGAAUAUUGCACAAUGGGGGAAACCCUGAUGCAGCGACGCCGCGUGAGUGAAGAAGUAUUUCGGCAUGUAAAGCUCUAUCAGCAGGGAAGAUAAUGACGGUACCUGACUAAGAAGCUCCGGCUAAAUACGUGCCAGCCGCCGCCGUAA